UGAUUUGAGUUCAGACCGGUGUAAGCCAGGUCGGUUUCUAUCUUCUUUAAACAAAUUACAGUACGAAAGGACCAAAUUUUAAAUUAACAAU
This 91-nucleotide ribosomal RNA is filed under the name Harpactocrates radulifer. RNAcentral describes it as "partial 16S ribosomal RNA". The record is from RNAcentral. Lineage: Eukaryota; Metazoa; Arthropoda; Arachnida; Araneae; Dysderidae.